AGGCAGAAGUUAGAACAUAUGUGUUGUCUUCAAUUGUAUUCCCCAGAUCCUCAUUCUUACCAUGACUUUGGCUAGGAAAUAAGAUAUUCAUUAUUUUAAGAAGAAUUGAAUGGAGUUGAGCGGCGAGCAUCAGGAGCAUAAAACAGUUUGAUAUGACAAAGAGACAAGAUCAAGUAGAGGGACAGGCUUUCUGUACUGAGAAGAAUGGCUUUUCCUGUAUGACAACACUUUGGGACUGAAAAUAACAAUGGCUGAAAACUUGAGUCUCUCUCUGAACACGGACAGAUGCUACAUCACCUUAAGGGCUGCUCCUGAUGUCCUCCAGGGUGGCCGUGAGAACUUCCACAUCAUCCAGUAUCCGUCCUUCUUGAACCAGUUUACCGCAUUGCAAAGGUGUCAUUAGCAUGACCGCUUCACUGACGUUCUAACAUCACAAUCAUGUAUCCACAGCAAGACUAAAAGCAACUCAUGCUCUCCCCUUAUAGUGGGCUUCGAUGAUCGUCUUUCUGAGCCAAGGACAGCAACUGUCAAUCCCUUUCAACCGGAUUUGACUCAGUCGCUGAACCAGUGCAGAGAAAGCGAAGACGGUCACUGUACCAGAGAGUGUAUCAUUUUGACAAGACAUCUAUCUCUAGCAGCUGAUUGUCUCCUCACGUCAUGGACAGUGUGCAUCAGU
Molecule: small RNA, 676 nt
Filed under: Rattus norvegicus (Norway rat)
Lineage: Eukaryota; Metazoa; Chordata; Mammalia; Rodentia; Muridae
Description: uncharacterized LOC102553570
Source: RNAcentral